Molecule: long non-coding RNA, 1057 nt
Organism: Ananas comosus (pineapple)
Lineage: Eukaryota; Viridiplantae; Streptophyta; Magnoliopsida; Poales; Bromeliaceae
Exons: 4
Source: RefSeq, a predicted model, not a curated record
UCUCCUUCUCUUCAUCUCAUUCGUCCCUCAGUCUCCUCCCUCUUAAUUUAUUUUUUCAUUCAUCCGCCCAUUUACCUGCCCUUUCACUCUCUCUUACAUGCGCCCGUCCGUGCUCCUUCUCUUCCCUCCUCUCUCCUCCUUCCCGAAACACCUCUCCUCGCUCCCUGACCUCGCGCUGAUGUGCGCCAACCUUACUUCCCUCCACUACCAUCCCCUUCGCCCCUUCCCACUAACCUUCGAUGCCCUUGAGGACCCCUUUCUCGACCACCCCCGCCGCAACAACAACAGCCGCCUCGAGCACCACGUCUCCCCUGCCGCCGCCAUCGCUGCCGUGCGCCGCGCCCUCGACCUCGGGAUCAACUUCUUCGACACCUCCCUGUCCGUAUCCUUAACUCUAGCCUUAGAUCUCCUUCUUUGUAUAAGCUUCGAGGUUCGCUGCUGGGCAAGUGCCUCAAGGAGAUCGGGGCGCGGCGGGAGGAGAUCGUCGUCUCCACCAAGUGCGGGCACUACGCCGACGGGUUUGACUUUAGCGCCGAGCCGUUGAUGCAUGGGGAACAGUUGACAUUUUAGUAAAUAAUGCAGGAAUUACGAAGGGAACACAUUGCAGAUGAGAAUGAAGAAGUCACAGUGGCAAGAAGUAAUUGACCUAAAUCUUACUAGCGUCUUUCUCUGUACCCAGGUGUGUAUUUCCAUAAUCUUAAUUCAGCAUAAUAAGUCAGCUACAUUAAGAUAUUGAAUCAUCUAUUUUUCUGUUAUCUAUCUGUUCUUUGCAGGCUGCAGCAAAAGUGAUGAUGAAAAAGAAAAAGAAACAGCAUAGAUGAUGAGAUGCUCCUACAUGUACAUGAUAUUGAGUUCACCCCUUCCCGCAAUCAGUGUAUUUGAAUGUUAACAACUGGGAGGGGAUCGUGCGGCGCGUGUGGCCGAACACCAAGUACUUGGACAUGAUCAUGGGCAAUGGCACAGUACAAAAUACCCAUGCAAGCUAUCUUACAUUGACUGAGUUAUUGCAUUCGGGAAUAUUACCAUAAAUAAAAAUUUUCUAUAUUGUUUUCAUCAA